UACGGGGGGGGCAAGCGUUGUUCGGAAUUACUGGGCGUAAAGGGCUUGUAGGUGGCCAACUAAGUCCGACGUGAAAUCCCCAGGCUUAACCUGGGAACUGCGUCGGAUACUGGAUGGCUUGAAUCCGGGAGAGGGAUGCGGAAUUCCAGGUGUAGCGGUGAAAUGCGUAGAUAUCUGGAGGAACACCGGUGGCGAAGGCGGCAUCCUGGACCGGUAUUGACACUGAAAAGCGAAAGCCAGGGGAGCAAACGGG
Molecule: ribosomal RNA, 253 nt
Filed under: uncultured bacterium
Lineage: Bacteria
Description: partial 16S ribosomal RNA
Rfam family: Bacterial small subunit ribosomal RNA
Source: RNAcentral